This 402-nucleotide ribosomal RNA is filed under the name uncultured bacterium. RNAcentral describes it as "bacterial SSU rRNA". It matches the Rfam family "Bacterial small subunit ribosomal RNA", at positions 355 to 773 of the family's 1533-position model. The record is from RNAcentral.
UGAGGAAUAUUGGUCAAUGGGCGAAAGCCUGAACCAGCGACGCCGCGUGGGUGAAGAAGGUCUUCGGAUCGUAAAGCCCUUUUCUGUGUGACGAGUAAGGACGGUAGCACAGGAAUAAGUCUCGGCUAACUACGUGCCAGCAGCCGCGGUAAAACGUAGGAGACAAGCGUUAUCCGGAGUUACUGGGCGUAAAGGGCGUGCAGGCGGUUGACUAAGUUCGUCGUGAAAUCGCCCGGCUUAACCGGGCGGGGUCGAUGAAUACUGGUGAACUAGAGGACGGUAGAGGCGUGUGGAAUUCCGGGUGUAGUGGUGAAAUGCGUAGAUAUCCGGAGGAACACCAGUGGCGAAAGCGACACGCUGGGCCGUACCUGACGCUAAGACGCGACAGCAUGGGGAGCGAAC